AAUUGACUAAAUAUAUGUUAAUAUUUAUAGUAAUAGCUAUGAACAUGGAUAAAUUAUGUGUAAAAAUUACACCUAAAUGAUAAUAUAAAAUACAUGCAUCAUAAAUCCAAGUUUAUCUUUAGCCCUAAGUGCUAUUAACAUUGAUCUACUCCAAGCAAGAUAAUCCUCACCGGUUAAUGGAGCAUUUACAAGAUUCAUACUGGGAUGAUCAGAACUCUGCAACGACAGCUGAUCUCAGUUCUCAUGAGCCAUGGAUCCAGCCAUCUUCAAUCAAAUCCAGAUGAACUAACUAUCAAAUCGAUGAGAUUAGAAUCAGCAAUCAGUCGCAGGAAAGCGGAGCUCUGAUACCAUGAACGAAAAUAGAAACUAACUAGAAAACUUGAUAGAUAAGAGAAUAAAAAUGAUUCUCAUUCGUCUGAUUUGAUCUGUACAAAUAACUGUCUCUUGUAUAUUACUUUACAAGAAUGAGAAAAGUCAACACUAUCUAGAAUUAUCCAGCCAGCUAAUUAACUAAUCUUCCCGCCAAAAUAAUGUUUCUCGGAACCCUUUACAUCUGCAAUUGCACAGCUUCUCUGGAUCUUCUUAUCAGUGCUUCUCGAAUGGUUUGUUUUGUGUUAACAAAACGCCCGGUUUCAUUUAUGGACCCAACGCACCGUUUUGAACACACUCUUUUCUUACACCGGCUUCUUCUUUUGCGGGAAGCAAAUAAGAUCAGCGUUCUGCAAUUUCAUCAGAACGUAGCUGGAGCCACAUAAUUUGGUUUCUGCUAGAAAAUAGAAAUGUUAUGCUCUUACCUUCUUCUUGAAAGGAAUGGCAAAAAAAAAAGAGCCAAAGGGCAGCUAUAAGGGGCGUCGAAUUCCAUGGAAAGCCUUGCAAAUUGAGCAGUCUCUUAGCCAAUACCCAGCUUUCAUUACCUGUUCGACCUUAAAAUAAUAAGUUCGUUUAAAUUUGGCAAGCUCAGAGAUGGAUCACUUGGCCCUAAUAAACCUAGCUACAAACAAAAAGGUCCGUAUAGCAUAUUGGUUUCAGAAGCUCCACGUACAGAUCAAUUACAGUACAACAAGCCCCAACAAGCAAUUGUGCAAGUAUGGAUAUACCUCAAUUGUACCAUAGAAUGCAAAAUUCAAGUGAUUUAAUUUGCAUUACAUUGUUGCUCCCACUUGUAAAACAAAGCCUAAAGGCAAACCAGGAAAUGACAAAACAUUGUCUGUCCUGGCCAUUUGAAUUAGUCUCAGUCAUGCAUCAGCACGACUCCUAGCAAUACUAUCAAUAUAAUAUUACUUUUUUGGGAAAAAAAAUAACUUAAUUAAUUUAUUUUUAAUGCCUACAAAUGAAUAUAUUCAAAAUAUUGCUUUUUUAUAUAAACAAUAACGAUAAAUUGACUUAUAAUAAUUUGUUUUAAAAGUCGGAAUUAAUCUUAAUAAUUCCAGUUCCCUACCUCUUGAGUCUGCAUUUGCCAAUCAUUUGUGAGAGAACCCAUAUCUACUGAUCACCUCAUACAACACAAAUGAGGAAGCAUGGCAAAGGAGAGACUUGCCCUAUUGUUCAAAUUACCAAAGCAAAAUCUUUCUUUAAUUAAUUCCCAUGAACAAAUUAAGGAAAAUUUUUCUAAUUAUGAAUGGUGUGUAUAUGCAAGUAUUUUAGUUUUUAUUUUUUUCUAAAUAAUUAUUUAGCAGGCCCCUAUUUACUAUGCAUAUGAUUUUUUUUUAAACACUGUGCAUAUGAAAUUAUACCCAUUGGAUUAACAUAUAUUAAGGGAAAAUGAAAAAUAAUAUUGUUAGUAAAUAUAAUAUUUAAUUAAUUAAUUUUUUAAUAACAAAGUGAUUUAACCAGUAAACGGGUAAAGUUCUGAACGGUAUGAUAACUAUGCUUUCUUUGUUAUUUUUUCAUGAAAAAGAAAGAGGCACUUACCCAUCACUGGUUGUCUGGUUCAGCAAAACAAACAGAGAUUAACAACUAGUUAUGGUUUUUCAUUUCCCGUAAGUGCUAAACUUAUAUUAUUCAAGCAGGUCGAACAGAUAAUGAAAGAAAGGUUAGUCAGCAAAAAAGAACUGUUCAAUUGACAAGCAUAGCAUGGAACGCACUCACCCAGAGCCUCCGACCGCCACUCGUCGAUCGCAAUCGAUGUAUCUUUUACUGUUAUAUCUCUCUUCUUCUAUAUCCUUUUUUGGUUCCAAGGUAUCAAGAAGUAUAUGGCGGAGAUUUUUG
This 2208-nucleotide unclassified non-coding RNA is filed under the name Hevea brasiliensis (rubber tree). The record is from RNAcentral. Lineage: Eukaryota; Viridiplantae; Streptophyta; Magnoliopsida; Malpighiales; Euphorbiaceae.